RNAcentral lists this ribosomal RNA (1151 nucleotides) under Enterobacter sp. TERI BD9. Its description in RNAcentral is "bacterial SSU rRNA". It matches the Rfam family "Bacterial small subunit ribosomal RNA", at positions 37 to 1179 of the family's 1533-position model. The record is from RNAcentral. Lineage: Bacteria; Pseudomonadati; Pseudomonadota; Gammaproteobacteria; Enterobacterales; Enterobacteriaceae.
UGGCGGCAGCCUACACAUGCAGUCGAACGGUAACAGAAAGUAGCUUGCUACUUUGCUGACGAGUGGCGGACGGGUGAGUAAUGUCUGGGAAACUGCCUGAUGGAGGGGGAUAACUACUGGAAACGGUAGCUAAUACCGCAUAACGUCGCAAGACCAAAGAGGGGGACCUUCGGGCCUCUUGCCAUCAGAUGUGCCCAGAUGGGAUUAGCUAGUAGGUGGGGUAACGGCUCACCUAGGCGACGAUCCCUAGCUGGUCUGAGAGGAUGACCAGCCACACUGGAACUGAGACACGGUCCAGACUCCUACGGGAGGCAGCAGUGGGGAAUAUUGCACAAUGGGCGCAAGCCUGAUGCAGCCAUGCCGCGUGUAUGAAGAAGGCCUUCGGGUUGUAAAGUACUUUCAGCGGGGAGGAAGGUGUUGAGGUUAAUAACCUCAGCAAUUGACGUUACCCGCAGAAGAAGCACCGGCUAACUCCGUGCCAGCAGCCGCGGUAAUACGGAGGGUGCAAGCGUUAAUCGGAAUUACUGGGCGUAAAGCGCACGCAGGCGGUCUGUCAAGUCGGAUGUGAAAUCCCCGGGCUCAACCUGGGAACUGCAUUCGAAACUGGCAGGCUAGAGUCUUGUAGAGGGGGGUAGAAUUCCAGGUGUAGCGGUGAAAUGCGUAGAGAUCUGGAGGAAUACCGGUGGCGAAGGCGGCCCCCUGGACAAAGACUGACGCUCAGGUGCGAAAGCGUGGGGAGCAAACAGGAUUAGAUACCCUGGUAGUCCACGCCGUAAACGAUGUCGAUUUGGAGGUUGUGCCCUUGAGGCGUGGCUUCCGGAGCUAACGCGUUAAAUCGACCGCCUGGGGAGUACGGCCGCAAGGUUAAAACUCAAAUGAAUUGACGGGGGCCCGCACAAGCGGUGGAGCAUGUGGUUUAAUUCGAUGCAACGCGAAGAACCUUACCUGGUCUUGACAUCCACAGAACUUUCCAGAGAUGGAUUGGUGCCUUCGGGAACUGUGAGACAGGUGCUGCAUGGCUGUCGUCAGCUCGUGUUGUGAAAUGUUGGGUUAAGUCCCGCAACGAGCGCAACCCUUUAUCCUUUGUUGCCAGCGGUUCAGGCCGGGAACUCAAAGGAAACUGCCAGUGAUAAACUGGAGGAAAGGGGGGG